This 253-nucleotide ribosomal RNA is filed under the name uncultured bacterium. Its description in RNAcentral is "partial 16S ribosomal RNA". It matches the Rfam family "Bacterial small subunit ribosomal RNA", at positions 524 to 776 of the family's 1533-position model. The record is from RNAcentral.
UACGAAGGGGGCUAGCGUUGCUCGGAAUCACUGGGCGUAAAGCGUACGUAGGCGGACUUUUAAGUCGGGGGUGAAAUCCCAGGGCUCAACCCUGGAACUGCCUUCGAUACUGGGAGUCUUGAGUCCGGGAGAGGUUGGUGGAACUCCGAGUGUAGAGGUGAAAUUCGUAGAUAUUCGGAAGAACACCAGUGGCGAAGGCGGCCAACUGGCCCGGUACUGACGCUGAGGUACGAAAGCGUGGGGAGCAAACAGG